CUGCUGCCUUCCGUAGGAGUUUGGACCGUGUCUCAGUUCCAAUGUGGGGGACCUUCCUCUCAGAACCCCUACGCAUCGUCGCCUCGGUGGGCCGUUACCCCGCCGACUAGCUAAUGCGCCGCAUGCCCAUCCGCCACCGGGAUCGCUCCCUUUGACCCCCCAGGGAUGCCCCUAAAGGGUGUCAUGGGGUAUUAGGCGGCAUUUCUACCGGUUAUCCCCUCGUGACGGCCGACGGUUGGUCAUACGUGUUACUUCACCCGUCGCGCCGGUCGCCGGCGUGUUGG
Molecule: ribosomal RNA, 284 nt
Filed under: uncultured bacterium
Lineage: Bacteria
Description: partial 16S ribosomal RNA
Source: RNAcentral